This is a long non-coding RNA of Saccostrea cuccullata (small rock oyster), 3934 nucleotides long. RefSeq lists it as uncharacterized. The transcript has 3 exons. The record is from RefSeq and is a predicted model, not a curated record. NCBI's taxonomy places the organism in Eukaryota, Metazoa, Mollusca, Bivalvia, Ostreida, Ostreidae.
ACAUUCAGAUGACUUGCUUAAUAUAAGAAGACAAGCCAAAAAGAAACACAAAUUCACACCUCAUAAAAUCUAGAUAUGACUGACUUUUCAGAUGCUUCUGAGUUCUUUGAAACAGCUGAUAUGAGUGAUGGCAGGGUGCAGGAAAAUCACUAUGAUGAAUCUUGUUAUUUUUACCAUUUUACUAUCAAAAGAAGACCAAGGGGGUCUAAAAGACGUGUAACGCUCCACAUUUUCAAGAGGAUAUGUAACUGUGGAAGAAAUUUGUAUAAUCCGGGUUACAUAACCUUCAAUGAUUUAGAAAAUGGUCCUAUCGAUGGUGUGGUUGUUCACGGUUUACCAGAAUGCGUAAUAAACAUUCAUAGAAAAUGGAAUCCUUAUCGCUGGAAUAUGAAAGAGGAUUGCAAAUGUGACACAAGAGGAAAUAGUUACAGGAAUUAACAAGCAGGAAGAUUAGCACGGGAUUGCAUUGCAGCAGAUUUACCAAUCGUUGUUACUAUGAUUCCGAAGUCUGCCUGUAUGAUAUCAAGUAAAGAUACAAAUCGACCUUUUUUCCCCUCGAAAUUCCCACUUGGAACACAAAAUGUUGUUUAUUUAAUUUUUUUUUUAUUUUUUGUGUGGUUGUAUCAUAAAUAUAUUUUUUUAAAUACAUGGUAACAAUACCUGCACAUAAUUUGUUAAAAUUGUCUAUAUGAGAUGCUACAACUUUAUACAAUAAUACAUGGUGAUAAAGACCUUCCCGUUCAUGUAACUCAUAUAAGAUGGAUACUGUUUAUUUAAUAAUUUAAAAGUAUUUCAAACACAAAAAUACGAUUAUUUUCAAAUUUUAUCUAUUUUCUUUAUAAAAUUAUUGUGGCACUGUAAACUGUAAGGAAUGGCUAGACCAAAAAAAAAGCAUUUUAAUUAACAGAUUCUGAUGAAAUUGUCUUAACAUGUUAUUGUUAAUUAAAAUAUUUAAAUAAACUUUGAAAAAAUUAAUUCCAAAAGGUACUGCAUUUUUUAAGUUCAUUUUUUGUUCUCGUUUUCCACUAUUAUGUUAAUCAAUUUUCGUAAAUUUAAACAUCCGUUGGUUUUUCUUAUGUUGGAAAAUUACAUUUUACAUUUAUUUUAUUAACUUUCUAUAUAGUAUGUUUCAUUUUCUGAUACUGGAGAACUGAUUUUGUAUGUUCCAAAUUCAAUACAUGUAUUUGUAAGGUAGAAUAAAUUUUCUUCUGAUAAAAACAUUGAAUUUGUCUUGUUUUGACUUCUUGAUGACAAAAUUUAAAGAAAUCCAUGUACACUGUACCAAACUUACUUCCAUCACUGUACUACAUUGUACCACUAGUGUGCAAGCUAGGGAGCUAGAUUUCUUCUAUUUUGCUUUAGAUAAUUUGUUUGUUUGUUUUUUAUGCCUCCGUAAACGAAGUUUCGGAGGUAAAUAGUUUUUGUCGUGUCCGUCCGUCUGUCUGUCUCUCUGUUUGUCUAUUUGUCCGCAAAAACUUUAACCUUGCCCAUAACUUUUGAUUUAGUGGAGCUAUGAUUUUUAUAUUUCGUAUAACGUGUAUUACUUGUGACAAAACCUUUCUUUGGAUACUACUAAAUUUGGCAUUUUGACCUUGACCUUGGAGUUUGACCCACUUAAACACAAAAAUUCCAAACUUUUACUAUGGCCAUAUCUUUUGAACAAUAAUAAACAGGACAUUUAUACUUCACAUAUGUAUUUUUUGUGGCAAGACCUUUUAUUGCAUACCAACAACCUUGACCUUUUGACCUUGACCUUGGAGAUUUUAAAUUUGUGAAAAAACUUGAACCUUGUACAGUACUUUUGAACGGCAAGGGAUAGGGUUUUCAUCACAUAUGUAAUUCUUGUUAAAAAAAAAACCUUCAUUGAAUACCAAGAAUUUUGACCCUUUGACCUUGGAGUUUGACCUCCUUUUAAAAAGCAAACCUUGACCUUAACUUUUAAAGGGUUAAGGCUAUUGCUUUCAUAUUUUACAUUAUUAAUCUUUGUGACAAAGCCUUUCAUUUGAAAGCAAGACUCUUUACCUUUUGACCUUGACCUUUGAGUUUGACCUUCUGUUAAAGAAAUUAACCUUGGCCAUAACUUCUGAACUGUUAAGGCUAGGGCUUCCAUUACUCUACAUAUGUAUUCUAUGUGGUAAGGCCUUUCAUUGAAUACCAAUUACCUUGACCUUUUGACCUUGACCUCGGAGAUAUUGUACUUAAUGAAAAAAAUUUAACGUUGACCAUAACUUUAGAAUACUAAGGGCUAGUGACCCUUUCACUUAUGUUAUCCUUCUGAAAAGACCCUUCAUUGGAUACUAGGAACUUUGACUCUUUGACCUUGGAGUUUUACCUACUUUUAAAAAGAAAACCUUGACAUUUCCUUUUAAAGGGUUAGUGCUAGUGCUUUCAUACUUUUCAUAUUUGAUCCUUGUGACAAGACCUUUUAUUUGAAGAGGCCAAGACCUUCGACCUUGGCCUUAAAGUUUGACCUACUUAUUAAAAUUUUAACCUUGGCCAUAACUUCUGAACGGUAAGUGCUAGAGUUUCCAUACUUUACAUAUGUAUAUUAUGUUGCAAGACCUUUCAUUGGAUACCAUUGACCUUGACCUUGAAGAUUUCUGUACUUAUGAAAAAAUUUUAACAUUGGCCUACUUUCAUUUUUCACAAUUGUAUUUCCAGUGAGAAUGCCUUACUUCUGGUACCAAUAUAUUAAAUUUGCAUUAACGAAAAUUUUAAUCUUUGCUAUAUUUCCAUACAUUUAGUGGUUCACAAAUACAUCUUGUUAGUUGCUGUUUUUAUGAUCAUAUUUAUUAGUUCCCUACCUGUGAAAACAAAGGGGCUAUAGGUUUCCUUUGAGUCCGUCCGUCUAGCUGUCCCUUUGUCUGUCAGUCAGUCUGUCCAAUUCGAUUUUCCGCACUUUUUUUCUUAAAGCUUGCAGAUAGUGAGCUGAUUUUUGGCAUGUAAACAUAUCAUAAGUUACAAAUCAAGUAAAAAAUUUGAUUCCACUUCAAUAAUUCUUUUAGAGAAUCACACCUUUUAAAAACAUUUUUAUGGUAUUCUGCUCUUUAUUCUAAAUGCUUGAGUAUUUUGAGCUGAUUUUCAGUAUCUAAAUGUAUCUUGAUGAGUUACGUAUACAGAUCAAGUUUAUAUUUUUGUUCCAUUUCAACGAUUUUUGAGUGAAAUUAUAGUCCUUUGAUUUAUAUGGGAACCAGAUUGCACUUGCAAAUGCCGGUAGGGGGGACUACUAUUGGAAAUUCAAUACAAAUGUUCUCCCAGAAUACUUGUUGAUAUUGAUGUAUGUUUUAUGUAUGAGUUUAUAAGCAGGAUUCCAUAUUUAGGAUAUGCCACAUUCACAAAAAUGAGCUAAACAUAGUUUCAAAGUCCAUUAACUAGGUUUAUCGGUUGGAAACUAUAGUUUACGGACUAUAAACUAUAGUUAACAACGUUAUUCUAUAUUUUACUUCUGUAAACCCUAGUUAACACGUUAAUCUAUGUUAAGGUAAUUCCAAACUCCUAUGACGUCAUAGUUUUUUUUCAAAAAUUGUCAUUUAUUGAAAAUCAUACCAAAUAGAACAGUAUCUUUUGGAAGAAUGCUUUUCAAUAGGUGUAAUGAUCAAUUUUGUUAAUUAAAAGAAUUUUAAAAAUACAUUUUUAAUAUUUAAUCAAUUAUUUUAAUCUUUAAAAAAUGUUGACAAGGGCAAUAACUCUUUCUCAGGUUUCUUCAUUCAGGCAUUUUCUUCAUUGUACUUUAUUGUACUUCUAAUGUAAAAUAGUUUCUCUGAUAUUCACAAUUCAAAAGUAUCUUAUAAAAGGGAAGUAUUUCGGAAGUUUCAGCAUCAGAAUUUUUGCAUUUGAACCAGUUUUUUUAAUACUAUUUACAAAACGUGUACAAUUUUUUCAUGUUGAUAAAUACAUGUACUUUUGUCUCUCAUUUUAAAAAAAAAAAACAUGG